GUGAAGGCCACAGCAUCUGAUUCACAUCAUGUCAUCCUCAUCAGACCAGUCAGUGACGCCUCGUGUCCUGUGGACCCUGGAGCAGACCGCUCCCAUCAGGACAGAAAUGUUUCAUCACAGGCACUGCGCUGGUCCAGAUUGUAACCCCUAUUUCUGCCUCCAAAAACCUGCCUUGGAGGAGCAUCCACGGAGGGAUUAGGGAUUUAGUGGGGAAGAAAACCAGGCCAUGAAAGCAGAAGAAUAAGAAAUCCUGGCUAUCAUCAUCUCUGCUUCUCCUUCCUUCCCUUGCUCUCUUUUGCCUGGCAGCUCUGGGAGACAGAUGACAAGGGUUUGUGGCCGUCUGAUCACCCCUAGAGCCAGUUGAUGCCGUCUGUGGCUGCAGCAGCUCCACAUACCCAGCCUGUCUGUCUCCAUGAAGCCCCCUGAGGUGCCACCAAUCAUCCUGUUUCAGUAAGAAGAGCGACAGGGAGAAGAACCAGGCCGCGCUCACGUCAGCUCCGUGACAUUGAAGUGACCGUGACACCGCAGCAAACUGGUGAUGACUGAUGCCUCUUUGCCUCCUGCCGUCAGGCCGAGUUGUCUGGCCUCUGGACGACUGUAAUUGCACCGACAGGUGACACGCAUGUGGAAACCAGAAGAUGAAGAGGAGACUACUUAGAUCAUGUGACCUGCACCUCACAUGCCUCCUCCAAGCAACUUUAUCGCCACCUCCUAAGAACUUGUCCACCCUUGGUGCCCUUCGUGACAGCACCUGGAGAGAUGGCUGCUACUGAACUGAACCAGUGUAGUAGUGCAGUGGCAACCUGCUCACUGGGGCGACACCACACCUCAGCAUAGAAUAGUUAAAUGUCUUUACAGGUAAGGGGCUUCACAUGAACUCAUCUGUCAGGCCAAUGCUUCAAGGCUAUGCAGAACCUCUUUGGCGAAGUCAGGUUGUGAUGUAUUGAUAUGGACACUCUCCGUCCUUGUUGCUUUUGUGCAAUGCACUGCUGACUGCAAGGUACCAGUAAUGCAAUGCCCGCUAAA
This is a long non-coding RNA of Monopterus albus (swamp eel), 1026 nucleotides long. RefSeq lists it as uncharacterized. Lineage: Eukaryota; Metazoa; Chordata; Actinopteri; Synbranchiformes; Synbranchidae. The record is from RefSeq and is a predicted model, not a curated record. The transcript is spliced from 7 exons.